GACGAACGCUGGCGGCGUGCCUAAUACAUGCAAGUAGAACGCACAGUUUAUACCGUAGCUUGCUACACCAUAAACUGUGAGUUGCGAACGGGUGAGUAACGCGUAGGUAACCUGCCUGGUAGCGGGGGAUAACUCUUGGAAACGAUAGCUAAUACCGCAUAAUAUUCAUUAUUGCAUGAUAAUUGAUUGAAAGAUGCUAUUGCAUCACUACCAGCUGGACCUGCGUUGUAUUAGCUAGUAGGUGAGGUAACGGCUCACCUAGGCGACGAUACAUAGCCGACCUGAGAGGGGGAUAGGCCAAACUGGGACUGAGACACGGCCCAGACUCCUACGGGAGGCAGCAGUAGGGAAUCUUCGGCAAUGGACGAAAGUCUGACCGAGCAACGCCGCGUGAGUGAAGAAGGUUUUCGGAUCGUAAAGCUCUGUUGUAAGAGAAGAACGGGUGUGAGAGUGGAAAGUUCACACUGUGACGGUAUCUUACCAGAAAGGGACGGCUAACUACGUG
This 505-nucleotide ribosomal RNA is filed under the name uncultured bacterium. RNAcentral describes it as "partial 16S ribosomal RNA". It matches the Rfam family "Bacterial small subunit ribosomal RNA", at positions 28 to 507 of the family's 1533-position model. The record is from RNAcentral.